This 253-nucleotide ribosomal RNA is filed under the name uncultured bacterium. RNAcentral's name for it is "partial 16S ribosomal RNA". It matches the Rfam family "Bacterial small subunit ribosomal RNA", at positions 524 to 776 of the family's 1533-position model. The record is from RNAcentral.
UACGUAGGGUGCGAGCGUUACUCGGAAUUACUGGGCGUAAAGCGUGCGCAGGCGGUUUUGGAAGCCAGGUGUGAAAUCCCCGGGCUCAACCUGGGAAUGGCAUUUGGGACUGCAAGGCUGGAGUGUGGCAGAGGAGACUGGAAUUCCUGGUGUAGCAGUGAAAUGCGUAGAUAUCAGGAGGAAUACCGAUGGCGAAGGCAGGUCUCUGGGCUGACACUGACGCUCAUGCACGAAAGCGUGGGGAGCAAACAGG